GAUGAACGCUGACAGAAUGCUUAACACAUGCAAGUCUUUGGCGAAGCUGUGCUUGCACAGCCUAGCCAAGGCGGACGGGUGAGUAACGCGUAAGGAACUUGCCCUGCAGUCAGGGAUAACAGACGGAAACGACUGAUAAGACCUGGUAAAGUCAGGCGGACUCAUGUCCAGCCUGAUGAAAAGAGAUGCUGCAGGAGAGCCUUGCGUCCUAUUAGCUUGUUGGUGGGGUAACGGCCCACCAAGGCGAUGAUAGGUAGCCGGCCUGAGAGGGUGGACGGCCACAAGGGGACUGAGAUACGGCCCUUACUCCUACGGGAGGCAGCAGUGGGGAAUAUUGGACAAUGGGGGCAACCCUGAUCCAGCAAUUCGGUGUGCACGAUGAAGGUUUUCGGAUUGUAAAGUGCUUUCAGCAGGGAAGAAAAAAAUGACGGUACCUGCAGAAGAAGCGACGGCUAAAUACGU
This 462-nucleotide ribosomal RNA is filed under the name uncultured bacterium. Its description in RNAcentral is "partial 16S ribosomal RNA". It matches the Rfam family "Bacterial small subunit ribosomal RNA", at positions 28 to 506 of the family's 1533-position model. The record is from RNAcentral.